RNAcentral lists this ribosomal RNA (247 nucleotides) under uncultured bacterium. RNAcentral describes it as "partial 16S ribosomal RNA". It matches the Rfam family "Bacterial small subunit ribosomal RNA", at positions 524 to 776 of the family's 1533-position model. The record is from RNAcentral.
UACAUGAGUGACAAGCGUUAUUCGUAAUAAUUGGGCGUUAAGGGUGUGUAGACGGUUUAAGAAGUUUUAAUUAACUAAAUUAGUUUAUUAGGGAAAUUAAAAUACCUUAAAACUUGAGUAAAAUUUAAAUAAUUAUAAUUCAUAGAUUAGCGAUAAAAUGCAGUGAUUUUAUGGGUAAUAUCAAUUACGAAAGUAAAUUGUUAUUUUUUACUGACGUUGAAACACUAAAGUAUAGUUAUCAAAUAGG